GCGGGAAUAGCUCAGUUGGUAGAGCACGACCUUGCCAAGGUCGGGGUCGCGAGUUCGAGUCUCGUUUCCC
Molecule: transfer RNA, 70 nt
Filed under: Pseudomonas aeruginosa
Lineage: Bacteria; Pseudomonadati; Pseudomonadota; Gammaproteobacteria; Pseudomonadales; Pseudomonadaceae
Also listed under: 11 other names
Description: tRNA-Gly
Rfam family: tRNA
About the family: Transfer RNA (tRNA) molecules are approximately 80 nucleotides in length. Their secondary structure includes four short double-helical elements and three loops (D, anti-codon, and T loops).
Source: RNAcentral